RNAcentral lists this ribosomal RNA (523 nucleotides) under uncultured bacterium. RNAcentral's name for it is "partial 16S ribosomal RNA". It matches the Rfam family "Bacterial small subunit ribosomal RNA", at positions 28 to 523 of the family's 1533-position model. The record is from RNAcentral.
GACGAACGCUGGCGGCGUGCCUAAUACAUGCAAGUCGAACGCUUUUUCUUUCACCGGAGCUUGCUCCACCGAAAGAAAAAGAGUGGCGAACGGGUGAGUAACACGUGGGUAACCUGCCCAUCAGAAGGGGAUAACACUUGGAAACAGGUGCUAAUACCGUAUAACACUAUUUUCCGCAUGGAAGAAAGUUGAAAGGCGCUUUUGCGUCACUGAUGGAUGGACCCGCGGUGCAUUAGCUAGUUGGUGAGGUAACGGCUCACCAAGGCAAAGAUGAAGAGCCGACCGGGUAGGGGGAUCGGCCACACGGGGACUGAGACACGGCCCAGACUCCGAUGGGAGGUAGCAGUAGGGAAUCUUCGGCAAUGGACGAAAGUCUGACCGAGCAACGCCGCGUGAGUGAAGAAGGUUUUCGGAUCGUAAAGCUCUGUUGUUAGAGAAGAACAAGGAUGAGAGUAAAACGUUCAUCCCUUGACGGUAUCUAACAAGAAAGCCACGGCUAACUACGUGCCAGCAGCCGCAGUAA